RNAcentral lists this non-coding RNA (289 nucleotides) under Lactiplantibacillus fabifermentans. RNAcentral's name for it is "Lactobacillus fabifermentans T-box sequence". It matches the Rfam family "T-box leader". From Rfam's summary of the family: Uncharged tRNA acts as the effector for transcription antitermination of genes in the T-box leader family. T-boxes are found upstream of many aminoacyl-tRNA synthetase genes and some amino acid biosynthetic genes usually in Gram-positive bacteria. Lineage: Bacteria; Bacillati; Bacillota; Bacilli; Lactobacillales; Lactobacillaceae. The record is from RNAcentral.
UAAAACGUGAUGAUCAGGAAAGUAGCGAACGAACCGUUUCAAGCGAGCCAUUGGGUGGUGCAAAAUGGCAGCGCGCAGUUUGUGAAAGUAACCUGGGAACUGCUAAUGCGAGGUAACGAGUGUUGGCUGGUUUGGUACCCAUUAUUGUACCAACGUAUCGCAGAGUGGUCGGAGCACCAGGUAGUUUUUGAGCAUUGCCUAGGACCGGCGCCAAUGCUGUACGUAUUAAGCUGAUGUGGCGCAAGUCCAUCACAAGCCAAAGGUGGUACCACGCGUAAGCGUCCUUGGA